Zophobas morio is the source of this 513-nucleotide long non-coding RNA. RefSeq lists it as uncharacterized. Lineage: Eukaryota; Metazoa; Arthropoda; Insecta; Coleoptera; Tenebrionidae. The record is from RefSeq and is a predicted model, not a curated record. The transcript has 5 exons.
UUUAAAAACCAGAAUAACUCCGGUCCUUUAUUAAUUUCCCCGUUCCACUAGACGAUUGAGUUUUCUAAGAAUUUAGAAAAAAUGGUUGAAAUAAUGCAACCCUAUAAAGUUGUUCUGGUAACUCACGGACGGUAUGCUGGGAAAAAAGCUGUGAUUGUUAAAGCAGUUGAAAAGCAAAGCGGUAGCGACAAGGAUUUUGGCUAUGCAAUUAUUGCUGGAAUCGCACGUCCUCCACUCAAAGUUUCAAAAGGCAUGUCAAAAAGCAAAAUUCAUAAGCGUUCUCGCAUAAAGCCAUUUAUUAAAACAAUAAAUUAUAAUCAUUUGCUUCCAACCAGGUAUAAGUUUGAAGUUUCUCAAGUAAAAGAUGUUAUUAAGGAAAAAAAUCCCAAAGAUCCAGCUAAUUUGAAAAAAAUACGCAAGGAACUUAGAAAAAUUUUUGAGACUAAAUAUAAAACGGGACAGUAUCGCUGGUUUUUUGAGAAACUUCGGUUUUAAUGGUGCUUUUUAUGAACA